This is a long non-coding RNA of Lutzomyia longipalpis, 1194 nucleotides long. RefSeq lists it as uncharacterized. Lineage: Eukaryota; Metazoa; Arthropoda; Insecta; Diptera; Psychodidae. The record is from RefSeq and is a predicted model, not a curated record. The transcript has 3 exons.
UCGAGCUGUCUGCCCACCUCUGUGUUAAAACGUCAUUCGAAUAAAAUUAAUUUUUUUAAUUUUUAAACAUAAAUUUAACAAUGUCUGAUGCGUUUGAAGAUUUAUUAGAUAAUUUAAAUGAUGAUUUAGUAAUAUUACUAAUUUGCAUAAGCGUUUUCUGUUUAUGUUUAUGCUUGGUUUUCAUUUAUCUUUGCAUUCGUUUUUGCGCAAAGAGCUCCGAACGCAGAAGCUCCCUUUUCCGAAAUGCUUCAGAGAUACCAUCAAGCAGGAGGCCAGGACAGCAAGAUGAGGGAAUUAUUGUACCACUUCAGGGUACAAUAAAUCAGCAGGAAUCUCUAGGAUAUACAGAUGUCUACAGAGGAGGAGGAGGAGGAGGACAAGAUCAAAGACCAACAGCUCCCAUGGAAACAAAUCUACCCUAUCCGUCUUAUCCCUUCUAUGACAGGAUGCCAGUACCUCAGGUGCCUAGCAACAGCUCAAAAGAUCAGCCAAAUCAGGCUCAAGAUAACCCACCUUCAUAUAACGAUGUAAUAACAAGCCCCAAUUACUAUCGGGAUAAAUAAAAAAUAGAUUUUUAAGGAAUCCAAAAGCCUCAAAAAAAAUUUCAGAAGUUCGUUACAAGCAACGAAUCCUUUUAAAGAAAGGAGAAAUAUGCGUAGAAGACCCUUCGCGCUUUUGCGCAAAAAUAUUUUUGCGAGAGAUUGUUUACAGAAUUUUCCUCCUUUCUGUACCUUUUUCCCUCAUUCCAAAAAUUCUUCCUAAUUGCCAGACAAUAAUUUAUGUCUCGUGGGGAUAUAGUAGAUGAUCCAUUUUGGACGAUAGUUUUGAUCCUUUUUGGGAUUUUUCUUUGGACAGUGUAUCUAAUGAGUUUGUGCUACCACAAAUGCCGAAAGUCUUUUACAGACUCCACCACAGAUGAGUCUCAACGCCCAAAUGAACGCACGGAAAUGCUUCCACGGCCUGAUCGGGAAAAUCAGCUGAAUGGAAUGUCUGAGAGGGAAACUCUCCAUUCAACUAGAAAUUUAAUUCCACCCUCCAGGGGAAGCUUGGAAGAUGAUCCUCCAUCAUAUGAUGAUGUUAUGCGAAAUCAAGCUUAUUAUGAGGAACAUUGAUUAACAAUAUUUUUGAGACAAAUCAUAGCAAUCUUGUAAAUAAAAUUUGGAGUGUUAAAAAAUAAAAUAAAAUUGUUCUCAA